Arvicola amphibius (Eurasian water vole) is the source of this 839-nucleotide long non-coding RNA. RefSeq lists it as uncharacterized. The transcript has 2 exons. Lineage: Eukaryota; Metazoa; Chordata; Mammalia; Rodentia; Cricetidae. The record is from RefSeq and is a predicted model, not a curated record.
GGUAUUCUGAAAUAAUCAGUUAAUUAUUUGAACCACAAUUUUAUUUUAUUUUAUUUUAUUUUGCUAAUGGCUUCUUUGGCUUAGAUAGUGCUUUCCUAUAUGUGGUAUCCUAUAGGUGGGAGUGAAUCAAGAAGCAAGACAGGCCAUGAAGAAGCUAACUCAAAUCCUGGAAUUGAGGGUUAAAUUAUCUUCCACCUCCUCACAUGAACAAGUGUCUGGAAGAAAGAAGAGAGCAAGGAGGUUAAGUCACUUUUGCAGGGUCACCAACUUCAGAGUUAUAUAAACAAAUCCCCAAUUCCACAGGACUCUUCCUUUAAACUUCUUCCUUUUAAUGCCUUUUUAUACCCUUUCUAAACACUCAGAUAUUUUUAGAAACAUAUAGUCAGUUAAUAACAUUGUGUUUCUACUAAAGGAAUGUCUUUCUUUCGUGUGGCAUUUGGUCUACCUUCCUUUCUGCUGUUAUAAUAAACACUCUAAACAAAAGCUGUUAUAAUUUCAGCCACAAUAAGGCUGACACUUCUGGGUUCUAGGGCCAUGCAUGUGCAGCAAGCCCUCAAGCAAAAGUGCCCAAUGGCGCCGGGGAUGUUAAAGGGCCCUGCAUGACCUCCGUACAGUGUGGUUGCAUCAUUCACGUCUGACUCAGCUAAGCCCUUGUGUGCAUGUGUGAGUCCCAUCAUCUGUGUAUGACAUAGUCACAUCAACCCUCUGUGUACAUGUGUUAGGCAGCUUUUAAAUGCUGGAUGCGCCAUAUUCCCCCUCACUCUCUUUCUGCACACCAACUUCCCCAGGCCUGUACAUGCCCCCUCUAAUAAACUCCUAAGCAGGUUUGUUGCAUGUUC